GAUGAACGCUGGCGGCGUGCCUAAUACAUGCAAGUAGAACGCUGAAGCUUGGUUCUUGCACCGAGCGGAUGAGUUGCAAACGGGUGAGUAACGCGUAGGUAACCUGCCUCUUAGCGGGGGAUAACUAUUGGAAACGUUAGCUAAUACCGCAUAACAUGUGACAUUGCAUGAUUUUGAUUUGAAAUAUGCAAUUGCAUCACUAAGAGAUGGACCUGCGUUGUAUUAGCUAGUUGGUGAAGUAACGGCUCACCAAGGCGACGAUACAUAGCCGACAUGAGAGGGUGAUCGGCCACACUGGGACUGAGACACGGCCCAGACUCCUACGGGAGGCAGCAGUAGGGAAUCCUCGGCAAUGGACGGAAGUCUGACCGAGAAACGCCGAGUGAGUGAAGAAGGUUUUCGGAUCGUAAAGAUCUGUUGUAAGAGAAGAAAGAGUGUGAGAGUGGAAAGUUCACAAUGUGACGGUAACCUAUCAGAAAGGGACGGCUAACUACGUG
RNAcentral lists this ribosomal RNA (497 nucleotides) under uncultured bacterium. RNAcentral's name for it is "partial 16S ribosomal RNA". It matches the Rfam family "Bacterial small subunit ribosomal RNA", at positions 28 to 507 of the family's 1533-position model. The record is from RNAcentral.